GAUGAACGCUGGCGGCGUGCCUAAUACAUGCAAGUCGAGCGAACAGACGAGGAGCUUUCUCCUCUGAUGUUAGCGGCGGACGGGUGAGUAACACGUGGAUAACCUACCUAUAAGACUGGGAUAACUUCGGGAAACCGGAGCUAAUACCGGAUAAUAUAUUGAACCGCAUGGUUCAAUAGUGAAAGACGGUUUUGCUGUCACUUAUAGAUGGAUCCGCGCCGCAUUAGCUAGUUGGUAAGGUAACGGCUUACCAAGGCAACGAUGCGUAGCCGACCUGAGAGGGUGAUCGGCCACACUGGAACUGAGACACGGUCCAGACUCCUACGGGAGGCAGCAGUAGGGAAUCUUCCGCAAUGGGCGAAAGCCUGACGGAGCAACGCCGCGUGAGUGAUGAAGGUCUUCGGAUCGUAAAACUCUGUUAUUAGGGAAGAACAAAUGUGUAAGUAACUAUGCACGUCUUGACGGUACCUAAUCAGAAAGCCACGGCUAACUACGUG
RNAcentral lists this ribosomal RNA (497 nucleotides) under uncultured bacterium. RNAcentral describes it as "partial 16S ribosomal RNA". It matches the Rfam family "Bacterial small subunit ribosomal RNA", at positions 28 to 507 of the family's 1533-position model. The record is from RNAcentral.